This 672-nucleotide ribosomal RNA is filed under the name Kaistella sp. Its description in RNAcentral is "bacterial SSU rRNA". Lineage: Bacteria; Pseudomonadati; Bacteroidota; Flavobacteriia; Flavobacteriales; Weeksellaceae. The record is from RNAcentral.
GAGCGAACAGGAUUAGAUACCCUGGUAGUCCACGCCGUAAACGAUGCUAACUCGUUUUUGGGGCGCAAGCUUCAGAGACCAAGCGAAAGUGAUAAGUUAGCCACCUGGGGAGUACGUUCGCAAGAAUGAAACUCAAAGGAAUUGACGGGGGCCCGCACAAGCGGUGGAUUAUGUGGUUUAAUUCGAUGAUACGCGAGGAACCUUACCAAGACUUAAAUGGGAAAUGACAGGUUUAGAAAUAGAUCCUUCUUCGGACAUUUUUCAAGGUGCUGCAUGGUUGUCGUCAGCUCGUGCCGUGAGGUGUUAGGUUAAGUCCUGCAACGAGCGCAACCCCUGUCACUAGUUGCUAACAUUCAGUUGAGGACUCUAGUGAGACUGCCUACGCAAGUAGAGAGGAAGGUGGGGAUGACGUCAAAUCAUCACGGCCCUUACGUCUUGGGCCACACACGUAAUACAAUGGCCGGUACAGAGGGCAGCUACACAGCGAUGUGAUGCAAAUCUCGAAAGCCGGUCUCAGUUCGGAUUGGAGUCUGCAACUCGACUCUAUGAAGCUGGAAUCGCUAGUAAUCGCGCAUCAGCCAUGGCGCGGUGAAUACGUUCCCGGGCCUUGUACACACCGCCCGUCAAGCCAUGGAAGUCUGGGGUACYGAAKCGGUGACCKAAAAGGAGCUG